This 104-nucleotide microRNA precursor is filed under the name Bigelowiella natans CCMP2755. Its description in RNAcentral is "miRNA EPrBNAG00000013202". The record is from RNAcentral. Lineage: Eukaryota; Cercozoa; Chlorarachniophyceae.
UGAUAAUGAUGAGGAUGAUGAUGAUGAGGAGGAGGAUGAUGAUGCCACAUAAUGAAACAACAACAACAUCAUCAUCAUUAUCAUCAUCAUCAUCAUCAUCAUCA